Molecule: ribosomal RNA, 464 nt
Filed under: uncultured bacterium
Lineage: Bacteria
Description: partial 16S ribosomal RNA
Rfam family: Bacterial small subunit ribosomal RNA
Source: RNAcentral
ACGAACGCUGGCGGCGUGCUUAACACAUGCAAGUCGAACGGUGAACUCCGCUUGCGGGGGGAUCAGUGGCGAACGGGUGAGUAACACGUGGGCAACCUGCCCUCAGCUCUGGGAUAACUCCAAGAAAUUGGGGCUAAUACCGGAUAUGACCGCUGACCGCAUGGUCUGGUGGUGGAAAGAUUUAUCGGCUGGGGAUGGGCCCGCGGCCUAUCAGCUUGUUGGUGGGGUAGUGGCCUACCAAGGCGACGACGGGUAGCCGGCCUGAGAGGGUGACCGGCCACACUGGGACUGAGACACGGCCCAGACUCCUACGGGAGGCAGCAGUGGGGAAUAUUGCGCAAUGGGCGAAAGCCUGACGCAGCGACGCCGCGUGAGGGAUGACGGCCUUCGGGUUGUAAACCUCUUUCAGCAGGGACGAAGCGAAAGUGACGGUACCUGCAGAAGAAGCACCGGCCAACUACGUG